This is a long non-coding RNA of Solanum dulcamara, 1160 nucleotides long. RefSeq lists it as uncharacterized. The transcript has 4 exons. The record is from RefSeq and is a predicted model, not a curated record. Lineage: Eukaryota; Viridiplantae; Streptophyta; Magnoliopsida; Solanales; Solanaceae.
UGUCACAUUUCAUUUCUUUUCUCUAUUAAAUACACCUUCUUCUCCCCAAAUUCUAAAAAGAGUUGUUGAGGCCGUUUUUGUACUCUCUCUAAUGAAAUCAACUCAAAAGGUGACAUCCUUCGAAGGAGGCUGUUGUGGAUCUUCAAGAGAAUUUUAGGAGGUUAUAUACUAAGCCUUAUCAUUCUUGGCGGGAGAUUAUAAAUAGUAUCCGUCAGGCGAUGUUUAAUUAAUUCAAGAUUUUAUGUACGCGGUAGCCAAGGUACAAUAUGAUCAUUGCGACCACUUUUGAAAAAAAAGCGAGCAUCAAAUUGUCUAGAAGGAAAGCUAGGGAUGAUCAGACACAUUUGAGUUGGAUGGUGCCUCAUAUAUUUGAAGAAUUAUAUCGGUAUUGGGAUACCGAAGAAUUCAAGUCUUUGUACGAACAAGGAAAAAAAGCAAGAGUCAGCCUAAAGGGUGGCUCAUUGCACAAAACGGAGGUGAAAAGAGUGUUGGUACGAUUCAGAGGGAGAUGAUAGGUUUCUAAAUUUUAAGUUUAAAUUAAUUUUCUUAAAUAAAUUAUUUGACAAAAUAUUAUUUCACUAAUUGUAUUUUUAUUUAUAGGAAAAAGAAUUGGAAUGCACUCCCAAUUGUCAUGAAAUCUUUAAAAAGACUUAUGUAAAUGAAAAGACUAAUGCGUCGGAUCCGAAUGACAAGAUUAUGAGCGGCACAUACGUGAUAUAAGAGAUUCAAUCUAGCUAACACUUGAACAGUCCACUCAAAUUUGGACAGAAAAAAUGGUUGGAGACAGCCACAAGGGACGAAUAUAUGGAAUGGGCUCUAGGAAUAAUGUACGAUGACUCCAAUCAGGUUUAGAAGAUAUUAAAUCAUCGUGUCAAACUGAGGUUGUUGACGGGGUUCAAAUAUCUUCUAUGUCUCAGUAAAUUGCAGAACUUCCACGCGCAUUGAUAGAAUCUGAGAAAAGAAGGGUUGAGGAGCAAAAAAAUAUGAAUGAACAAGUUGAGAAAAUUAAAGAACAAGUGUUCAACCUCGCCCGUCAACCUCUGCCCCAUUAUUCAAGAGGGUCCACUCCGAAUGAAUCCGACAAUAGUGAUGAAUACAUUGCAAAUACUCCUUAGGUUCUCUAUGUUAGUUUAUGAACAUUUUGAAAUUUUUUGUUAACU